CCUACGGGAGGCUGCAGUGGGGAAUAUUGCACAAUGGGCGCAAGCCUGAUGCAGCCAUGCCGCGUGUGUGAAGAAGGCCUUCGGGUUGUAAAGCACUUUCAGCGGGGAGGAAGGCGGUGAGGUUAAUAACCUCAUCGAUUGACGUUACCCGCAGAAGAAGCACCGGCCAACUCCGUGCCAGCAGCCGCGGUAAUACGGAGGGUGCAAGCGUUAAUCGGAAUUACUGGGCGUAAAGCGCACGCAGGCGGUCUGUCAAGUCGGAUGUGAAAUCCCCGGGCUCAACCUGGGAACUGCAUUCGAAACUGGCAGGCUAGAGUCUUGUAGAGGGGGGUAGAAUUCCAGGUGUAGCGGUGAAAUGCGUAGAGAUCUGGAGGAAUACCGGUGGCGAAGGCGGCCCCCUGGACAAAGACUGACGCUCAGGUGCGAAAGCGUGGGGAGCAAACAGGAUUAGAUACCCUAGUAGUC
Molecule: ribosomal RNA, 465 nt
Filed under: uncultured Klebsiella sp.
Lineage: Bacteria; Pseudomonadati; Pseudomonadota; Gammaproteobacteria; Enterobacterales; Enterobacteriaceae
Description: bacterial SSU rRNA
Rfam family: Bacterial small subunit ribosomal RNA
Source: RNAcentral